GACGAACGCUGGCGGCGUGCCUAACACAUGCAAGUCGAACGAGGUCCAUCCUUCGGGAGAAGACCUAGUGGCGAACGGGUGAGUAACACGUGAGGAACCUGCCCCGAAGACCGGGAUAACCCUCCGAAAGGAGAGCUAAUACCGGAUACCCCCACCGAGCCGCAUGGUUUGGUGAGGAAAUGGAUUCCGCUUCGGGAGGGGCCUCGCGGCCUAUCAGCUAGUUGGUGGGGUAACGGCCCACCCAAGGCAUCGACGGGUAGCUGGUCUGAGAGGACGAUCAGCCACACUGGGACUGAGACACGGCCCAGACUCCUACGGGAGGCAGCAGUGGGGAAUCUUGCGCAAUGGGCGAAAGCCUGACGCAGCAACGCCGCGUGGGGGA
This 382-nucleotide ribosomal RNA is filed under the name uncultured bacterium. Its description in RNAcentral is "bacterial SSU rRNA". It matches the Rfam family "Bacterial small subunit ribosomal RNA", at positions 28 to 408 of the family's 1533-position model. The record is from RNAcentral.